UCGAGCGCAUCCUUCGGGAUGAGCGGCGGACGGGUGAGUAACGCGUGGGAAUGUGCCCUUCUCUAAGGAAUAGCCUCUGGAAACGGAGAGUAAUACCUUAUACGCCCUUUUGGGGAAAGAUUUAUCGGAGAAGGAUUAGCCCGCGUUAGAUUAGGUAGUUGGUGGGGUAAUGGCCUACCAAGCCUACGAUCUAUAGCUGGUUUGAGAGGAUGAUCAGCCACACUGGGACUGAGACACGGCCCAGACUCCUACGGGAGGCAGCAGUAGGGAAUCUUAGACAAUGGGGGCAACCCUGAUCUAGCCAUGCCGCGUGUGUGAUGAAGGCCCUAGGGUCGUAAAGCACUUUCGCCAGAGAUGAUAAUGACAGUAUCUGGUAAAGAAACCCCGGCUAACUCCGUGCCAGCAGCCGCGGUAAUACGGAGGGGGUUAGCGUUGUUCGGAAUUACUGGGCGUAAAGCGCACGUAGGCGGAUUAGUAAGUUAGAGGUGAAAUCCCAGGGCUCAACCCUGGAACUGCCUUUAAUACUGCUAGUCUUGAGUUCGAGAGAGGUAAGUGGAAUUCCGAGUGUAGAGGUGAAAUUCGUAGAUAUUCGGAGGAACACCAGUGGCGAAGGCGGCUUACUGGCUCGAUACUGACGCUGAGGUGCGAAAGUGUGGGGAGCAAACAGGAUUAGAU
Molecule: ribosomal RNA, 675 nt
Filed under: uncultured bacterium
Lineage: Bacteria
Description: bacterial SSU rRNA
Rfam family: Bacterial small subunit ribosomal RNA
Source: RNAcentral